Molecule: long non-coding RNA, 1120 nt
Filed under: Piliocolobus tephrosceles (Ugandan red Colobus)
Lineage: Eukaryota; Metazoa; Chordata; Mammalia; Primates; Cercopithecidae
Description: lncRNA (ENSPTEG00000013924.1)
Source: RNAcentral
GAUAUUCGUCUUAGUAGAGUGGUAACCAUGUAUAAUUGAGCCUUGACCCCCUGGUGUAGGGAAAUGAAGCAGGUGAUUUUCUGCAUAGAACUUGUGGCUUCCUUUUCUCUCCUAGUUAAUAUCCCUAGAGAUUGGUCUUCAUAACCUGCACCAACAGACGGAUGCUGAAGAUAACCCAAAACAUUGAAUACUCCAGAAUACAUUUUGCAUUUUCUUUGUAUGUCAUUGAGGAUGGACAUGACCUGGGAAUUUAAUUGAAAACAAGCAAUAAUCACAUCAUAAAGACUAAUUCAAGAGCUCAGAAAUUGUCCCUGGCUCCUUAUUCUGCCUCUGCCUGAGGGCGCUCAGUGGCUUGCACCCUUCUCUGUGGACAGAUGGCCUGGUCUCAGACUGAGGAAAGCACUCAUAGGGCAAGAUUUCUCCCAUAGCGAUUGUUAAGGACAAGAUAGACACCACAAAAGGUUUUUCUGAAAACUGUGUUGCAGAGAAGAUAAUGGGUGUGUUUAGAACAUAAAUAAAGAAAAUAAGCAGCAGUUUUGAGAAAUGACAGUAAACUUGAAAUAAUUUAUCAAAAUAAAAAUGUGAGUAAUCUAGAUAACUGUGAUUCAGGGGAAAAUAUAUAAAUCUAGGGAUAUUAAUUUGUGUACUUUUCAUUUUUCCAUGUACUAUAUGUUUUUAACAGGAUUUAAGAUACAUUUUUCAAUAAAGUGCAAAGAAUGUGAAUAAAUGAUAAUGAAUUAAAAGCAGUUUAGUACAUAUGCCAUUAACCAGAUUGGCCUGACUUUUGGAAUUUAAAACUAACUCUUCUUUUCUUUUUAGGUUGCCUCUUGGUGCUGCCUUGGCCGUAUUUGGCACCCAGAAUGCUUCAUUCUAUGACGGUCUAUUAAUAAGGUUGCCUUGCUAGAGUUUGGAGCAGGGCCUCAGAUUGGCCAAAAUGGGAAGGAUUGGAUUCCACUCUCUUCCACGAAGAGUCAAUGGGACUGGCUAAGAUCAAAGUCUGAGGCUUUUUCCAUAUGUAAUCAGUCCCUUUUUGCUUUCUUUUACGACCACAUGAAACUUGAGAAGCCACCUAAAGCUAUAUCAUUUAGUGGAGUUGGGCAGUUCCCAAGUGUCCAACAAG